AUAUUUAUAUGUAUCCUCUGAUUGUAUAUUGUAUAACAAGGAGACAAACACGGUCUUUUCGGGCCGAGCGUAUAUAAGUUUGCAAU
Molecule: long non-coding RNA, 86 nt
Organism: Diprion similis
Lineage: Eukaryota; Metazoa; Arthropoda; Insecta; Hymenoptera; Diprionidae
Exons: 3
Source: RefSeq, a predicted model, not a curated record